Molecule: transfer RNA, 74 nt
Filed under: Candidatus Desulfovibrio gallistercoris
Lineage: Bacteria; Pseudomonadati; Thermodesulfobacteriota; Desulfovibrionia; Desulfovibrionales; Desulfovibrionaceae
Description: tRNA-Ala
Rfam family: tRNA
About the family: Transfer RNA (tRNA) molecules are approximately 80 nucleotides in length. Their secondary structure includes four short double-helical elements and three loops (D, anti-codon, and T loops).
Source: RNAcentral
GGGGCCAUAGUUCAGCGGGAGAACGCCGCCUUUGCACGGCGGAAACGCGGGUUCAAUCCCCGCUGGCUCCACCA